Molecule: RNA transcript, 1579 nt
Organism: Lycium barbarum (goji berry)
Lineage: Eukaryota; Viridiplantae; Streptophyta; Magnoliopsida; Solanales; Solanaceae
Gene name: plasmodesmata-located protein 2-like
Exons: 5
Source: RefSeq, a predicted model, not a curated record
CUGAUCAUCUUUUUCUUCUACUGUACUAUUAGAGAUAACCUCUAUCUGCACAACAAACGAGGAAGUGCACCACCAAGACCACCUUUUUUUUCAGAAGAAAAAUAAAAUAUAACAGCAAACAAAACCCUUCAACAUUUCUCAUUUCACUUUACCAAAAACCUCAAAAAAAAAAAACCACCAAAACAAUGGAAUAAUAAUCCAUCAAGAAUCCACAAAAUGGUGUUGCCCACAAAGCCAUUUUGCAUAUUCUCACUUUUUUUAGUCACAUUAACUAUUUUCAAGCUAACCCCACAAGUUAAAUCAUCAUCAGAUUACACAAAAUUAGUAUACAAAGGUUGUGCUAAACAAGAUUUAUCAGAUCCAUCUGGUGUUUACUCACAAGCACUUUCAUCACUUUUUGGUACACUUGUUUCACAAUCUUCAAAGUCUAAGUUUUAUAAAACUAGUACUGGUAAUGGGGGGUCUACAAUUAGUGGUCUUUUUCAAUGUAGAGGUGAUCUUACUAAUAUUGAUUGUUAUAAAUGUGUUAGUGGUUUGCCAAUACUUAUAGAUAAGUUAUGUAGAAACAAACCUGUUGCUGCAAGAAUUCAGCUUUUUGGUUGUUAUAUGCUUUAUGAAGUUGCUGGUUUUCCUCAAAUCUCUGGAAUGGAAAUGCUGUACAAGACUUGUAAUGGAAAAAAUGCUCCAGGUAGUGGGUUUGAGGAAAGACGGGAUACUGUUCUUUCCACAUUGGAAAAUGGAAUGGCCAGUAGCAAUGGCUUCUACACUACAAGCUAUCAGUCUGUUUAUGCUUUGGGGCAAUGUGAAGGGGAUAUUGGCUCAUCUGAUUGUGCUGAUUGUGUGAAGAAUGCUGUCCAAAAAGCUCAGGUGGAAUGUGGUAGCUCUGUUUCUGGCCAAAUCUUUCUGCACAAAUGUUUUAUUAGUUAUAGUAAUUCACCAGGCGGGGUCCCAAAAACAUCACCGUCAUCUUCAGAUUGGUCCCCGUCUUCAUCUUCAGGGUUAGGGCAAAAUGUUGGGAGGACGGUGGCAAUAAUAGUAGGAGGGAUAGCUGGAGUGGGGUUUCUACUCAUAUGCUUGCUGUUUGCAAGGAAUCUAAUGAAGAAACAUGACGAUUAUUGAAGGGGUCAGAUUUGUUUACUAAUUAAGACGGCGACGGGCAAAGAUUUUCUGAGUCCAGUCAAACUCCAAUACUGACAGCGACCCAUCAGAAACUCCAAGACUAACAGCAAGGUGUGCCAUAUUCAGCAGUUCAUUGCAUAUGUUUUAUCCCCUCAACUUGGACAAGGAGAAAAAGAACCGAAGAGACGGGAAUGGCAGGAAGUUUUCAAUGGUUCAUUUCGUGAUAAUGAAGAGAAGGGAAUCUUGUAUGCCACGGACUGUAGGAGUUGGACCAAUUACUAGUCUUUCUCGGUUAGGUUUUUAGAAAACAAAUUGCAUUGUCAACUGGAGUAUAUUCAUCCUAGCUUUGCUUUUGUUAAUCUCUGGAACAUCUUGUAUUACUUAACAGCAAAUUUUGCUAACUUGCACAAGGUUUAUGAUUCAUAAUGAGCAUUUGCUCUGUGGAAACUUUAGGAGUAAA